GGGCCGUGGUAUACUGACCAUGCGAAGGUAGCAUAAUCAUUAGCCUCUUAAUUGGGGGCUGGAAUGAAUGGUCUGACGAGAGGCAAGCUGUCUCACCGACUUACUCGAAUUUAAUUAUUAGGUGAAAAAGCCUAAAUUUACUUGGAGGACGAUAAGACCCUAUAGAUCUUUACACUAAAUCUCUUUAUCUGGUAGUUAGUAAUAAGAUGAAGAACUGGGGUGUUUGGCUGGGGCGGCCGCGAGAGAAGAAUAAACACUUGCAUUUCAAAACAUAAAUAAAUGAUUAAAGAUCCUUUAAUGAAAAAAGAACAAGUUACCUUAGGGAUAACAGCGUAAUUUCUUUUGAGAGCUCAAAUCGACAAAGAAGUUUGCGACCUCGAUGUUGGUUCAGGGAUCCUAUUUGGUGCAGCAGUCAAAUUAGGCAGUCUGUUCGACUAUUAAAUCCCUACGUGAUCUGAGUUCA
RNAcentral lists this ribosomal RNA (463 nucleotides) under Artemia persimilis. RNAcentral's name for it is "partial 16S ribosomal RNA". It matches the Rfam family "Bacterial large subunit ribosomal RNA", at positions 1928 to 2613 of the family's 2925-position model. The record is from RNAcentral. Lineage: Eukaryota; Metazoa; Arthropoda; Branchiopoda; Anostraca; Artemiidae.